Molecule: transfer RNA, 72 nt
Filed under: Camelus bactrianus (Bactrian camel)
Lineage: Eukaryota; Metazoa; Chordata; Mammalia; Artiodactyla; Camelidae
Also listed under: 1 other name
Rfam family: tRNA
About the family: Transfer RNA (tRNA) molecules are approximately 80 nucleotides in length. Their secondary structure includes four short double-helical elements and three loops (D, anti-codon, and T loops). Further hydrogen bonds mediate the characteristic L-shaped molecular structure. tRNAs have two regions of fundamental functional importance: the anti-codon, which is responsible for specific mRNA codon recognition, and the 3' end, to which the tRNAs corresponding amino acid is attached (by aminoacyl-tRNA synthetases). tRNAs cope with the degeneracy of the genetic code in two manners: having more than one tRNA (with a specific anti-codon) for a particular amino acid; and 'wobble' base-pairing, i.e. permitting non-standard base-pairing at the 3rd anti-codon position.
Source: Rfam by way of RNAcentral
GAGGGUACAGCUCAGUGGUAGAACAUGUGCUUAGCAUGCACGAGUUCCUGGGUUCAAUCCCCUGUACCUGUU